GAUGUGUGUUAGCACUGGUUUAACCAGUGGUUAGUGGAAUGGUGACACAGACACCCUUCUAAAAGUGUAGUUCGCUGCUCAGUUGGGAUUAGGAGUCAGGUUGUGAGAUCACUUUGAGCUUUUCAAGUCCUCAGCAAUUUUGGCCGAUAAAGGUAAAAUGAGGACUGUGGCAACUGCGGCAAGUCAGGAUGAAGGCCAGAAGUCACUGUCCAUCCACCCUUAGCAGUAAACUGGCAAUGCUGCUGAGACUUCUCAUUUGAGAGCUUGCCGAAGAUUCAUGGGAAAAAGGAAUGCAAUCUAAUACCUGUGCUUCAUUCAACUGUAUUGGAGGUUAUGAGAGACUUCAACAUGUGGUGACCGUGUGUGAAGAAUGGCAAAGGAAAGCCUGAAUCAUGGAAAAGAUAAGUUAUUCCAGAUAACUUAGGAAGAAGAACAAUAAAAAUGACACACUCUUUCCUUGCAGACAGAAAGAAUUUUGUGAAAAUAAUCAACCAGUGGUAAAUU
Molecule: long non-coding RNA, 504 nt
Organism: Saccostrea echinata
Lineage: Eukaryota; Metazoa; Mollusca; Bivalvia; Ostreida; Ostreidae
Exons: 3
Source: RefSeq, a predicted model, not a curated record